This 254-nucleotide ribosomal RNA is filed under the name uncultured bacterium. RNAcentral describes it as "partial 16S ribosomal RNA". It matches the Rfam family "Bacterial small subunit ribosomal RNA", at positions 524 to 776 of the family's 1533-position model. The record is from RNAcentral.
UACGGAGGGUGCGAGCGUUGUCCGGAAUCACUGGGCGUAAAGGGCGCGUAGGUGGCUUGGCAAGCGUGUGGUGAAAGCCCGGGGCUCAACCCCGGGUCUGCCGUGCGAACUGCUAUGGCUCGAGCACUGUAGAGGCAGGUAGAAUUCCGGGUGUAGCGGUGGAAUGCGUAGAGAUCCGGAAGAAUACCGGUGGCGAAGGCGGCCUGCUGGGCAGUGGCUGACACUGAGGCGCGACAGCGUGGGGAGCAAACAGG